AUUGAGUUACUGUUGAUCUUUUUUUUUUUGGGAAACUUGUGAAUUUGGUUUAUAAUUUUGGGUAACAAGUAACAAACUAUUUGAUUAAAAUGCCAAAACAGGGCCUCAAAAGAACCAUUCUGAAUCUCUGAAUCAGUUAAAUGAAAAACAUGCUAAACAAAGACGUGCAGCAAUUUAAAGCCUUGUCCGCAAUUUAAAAAAAAAGGAGAUCAACAGUAACUCAAUAAAUGGCAAAAACAAAAAUCAUUUCAAGCUCAUGCAGCAGCUUCAGCAGGGGC
RNAcentral lists this unclassified non-coding RNA (278 nucleotides) under Hevea brasiliensis (rubber tree). Lineage: Eukaryota; Viridiplantae; Streptophyta; Magnoliopsida; Malpighiales; Euphorbiaceae. The record is from RNAcentral.